ACGUGGAGUGUGUGUGUGAGCCAGUCUCUUUCUGUGAUGAUACGUGGAGUGUGUGAGCAUCUCUUUCUGUGAUGAUACGUGGAGUGUGUGAGUGAGUCAGUCUCUUUCUGUGAGAAUACGUGGAGUGUGUGAGUGAGUCAGUCUCUUUCUGUGAUGAUACGUGGAGUGUGUGAGUCAGUCUCUUUCUGUGAUGAUACGUGGAGUGUGUGUGUGAGCCAGUCUCUUUCUGUGAUGAUACGUGGAGUGUGUGAGAGUCUCUCUCUUUCUGUGAAGAUACGUGGAGUGUGUGUGUGAGCCAGUCUCUUUCUGUGAUGAUACGUGGAGUGUGUGAGAGUCUCUUUCUGUGAUGAUACGUGGAGUGUGUGAGUGAGUCUCUUUCUGUGAUGAUACGUGGAGUGUGUGAGUGAGUCAGUCUCUUUCUGUGAUGAUACGUGGAGUGUGUGAGUGAGUCAGUCUCUUUCUGUGAUGAUACGUGGAGUGUGUGAG
This 486-nucleotide long non-coding RNA is filed under the name Salmo salar (Atlantic salmon). RNAcentral's name for it is "lncRNA (ENSSSAG00000090639.1)". Lineage: Eukaryota; Metazoa; Chordata; Actinopteri; Salmoniformes; Salmonidae. The record is from RNAcentral.